This 734-nucleotide ribosomal RNA is filed under the name Microbacterium sp. RNAcentral's name for it is "bacterial SSU rRNA". It matches the Rfam family "Bacterial small subunit ribosomal RNA", at positions 79 to 827 of the family's 1533-position model. Lineage: Bacteria; Bacillati; Actinomycetota; Actinomycetes; Micrococcales; Microbacteriaceae. The record is from RNAcentral.
UUGCUCUGUGGGAUCAGUGGCGAACGGGUGAGUAACACGUGAGCAACCUGCCCCUGACUCUGGGAUAAGCGCUGGAAACGGCGUCUAAUACUGGAUAUGUGUCGUGACCGCAUGGUCAGCGUCUGGAAAGAAUUUCGGUUGGGGAUGGGCUCGCGGCCUAUCAGCUUGUUGGUGAGGUAAUGGCUCACCAAGGCGUCGACGGGUAGCCGGCCUGAGAGGGUGACCGGCCACACUGGGACUGAGACACGGCCCAGACUCCUACGGGAGGCAGCAGUGGGGAAUAUUGCACAAUGGGCGCAAGCCUGAUGCAGCAACGCCGCGUGAGGGACGACGGCCUUCGGGUUGUAAACCUCUUUUAGCAGGGAAGAAGCGAAAGUGACGGUACCUGCAGAAAAAGCGCCGGCUAACUACGUGCCAGCAGCCGCGGUAAUACGUAGGGCGCAAGCGUUAUCCGGAAUUAUUGGGCGUAAAGAGCUCGUAGGCGGUUUGUCGCGUCUGCUGUGAAAUCCGGAGGCUCAACCUCCGGCCUGCAGUGGGUACGGGCAGACUAGAGUGCGGUAGGGGAGAUUGGAAUUCCUGGUGUAGCGGUGGAAUGCGCAGAUAUCAGGAGGAACACCGAUGGCGAAGGCAGAUCUCUGGGCCGUAACUGACGCUGAGGAGCGAAAGGGUGGGGAGCAAACAGGCUUAGAUACCCUGGUAGUCCACCCCGUAAACGUUGGGAACUAGUUGUGGGG